UGUUGGUGACCAUUCCUCCCAGGGCCCCAUGGGGCUGGCAGCCAGAGCACUGGCCCCACCGCAGGGUGCCCGUCCCUGGCUCCUCGGCUCCUGCAUGGCAGCCAGCUGGCCGCGCCCUGGCUGACCACAGCUCUCUCUCUUCUCUCCCGGCUACAGUUUGCUUCCUCAGGGCUUUUUACUAUCUGGCUCCUUUGGUUUCUGAUCUAGUGGCCUUUCUCAGUUCCCGUAUCAACAGCUUUAGUUGUACACCCCUCCUGCCUUUGAGAUGGCUGUUCCGUCCACUGAGGGACCAGCAGGCCUGGAAUGAUGAGCAGCGUGUGUCUGGGAAACUCUAAAGGGCGACCUGGACAGACCUGAUUGCUUAAAGUUAAAAAAUGCAGUUUUCAGUGUGCCAAACAAAACAUUGGCAGCUUUGAAAGGAUGACAUGCACAGGGUCAUUGACCGGCAGCUGAUGGACACGCACCUGAAAGAACGGAGCCAGCCGGCUGCUGCCCUCUGCAGGGGCCACAGCGCUGGGAGAGGGGAUGAGCCCAGCACCGCUGAAGGCAAAAGACUCUUCUCAUUCUUCAGGAAAAUUUAAGUUGGGAGGAGUCAGGCCACCAAAGAUGGGUGGACUGGAGGCAGCUGGAAAGGCGGUGCAGGCGAAGCCUCCCCUGCAGCUUGCACCUCAGCAGCUGCCCUGCCCCUCAUGCUAGGGCCCCAUGGGUCCGGGAGGGCCUGCUCCCUCUCAUCGGUGGGGAUGGAGACCUAGAGGUGGGGG
Molecule: small RNA, 761 nt
Filed under: Pongo abelii (Sumatran orangutan)
Lineage: Eukaryota; Metazoa; Chordata; Mammalia; Primates; Hominidae
Description: retained intron
Source: RNAcentral